Molecule: unclassified non-coding RNA, 345 nt
Filed under: soil metagenome
Description: partial contains 5.8S ribosomal RNA, internal transcribed spacer 2, and large subunit ribosomal RNA
Rfam family: 5.8S ribosomal RNA (bases 1-120)
Source: RNAcentral
GAUGAAGAACGCAGCGAAAUGCGAUACGUAAUGUGAAUUGCAGAAUUCAGUGAAUCAUCGAGUCUUUGAACGCACAUUGCGCCCCCUGGUAUUCCGGGGGGCAUGCCUGUCCGAGCGUCAUUGCUGCCCUCAAGCACGGCUUGUGUGUUGGGCCUCCGUCCGCCUCCCGGGGGACGGGCCCGAAAGGCAGCGGCGGCACCGCGUCCGGUCCUCGAGCGUAUGGGGCUUCGUCACCCGCUCUUGUAGGCCCGGCCGGCGCUUGCCGACACAUCAAUCUUUUUUCCAGGUUGACCUCGGAUCAGGUAGGGAUACCCGCUGAACUUAAGCAUAUCAAUAAGCGGAGGA